AAUAAUAUUUUAUUUUGGUAUUUUUAUUUCUUUGAAUCUUUUUUUACAUGUAAAUUUUAUUUGGUUUAAAAAACGCAUAAAUGCAGUAAUUAUAUUUAGUUUAUUAAGUAUAUUUAGAAUUAGAAAUUGAUUAUAAAAUUAACUAAUUUUGUGCCAGCAGUUGCGGUUAUACAAUUAAUUUAUGAGAAAUAUAAUAGCAAAAUAGUUUAUUUAAUUUAAAUUGUUAAUUGUUAUUUGUAAGUAAAAUUUAAAUUUUAAAAUUAAUAUUUAUUAAUAUAGGUUUAUGAAAUUUAAUUAUAAGACCAGGAUUAGAUACCCUGUUAUUUUGAAUGUAAAAUUGCUUGAGUAGUAAUUAGUAAGAAUAUAAAACUCAAAGAAUUUGGCGGUAUUUUAUCUUAUUAGAGGAACCUGUAAUGUAAUUGAUAUUCCACAACUUUAUUUACUUUUAUUAAAUUUAUUUGUAUACCGCCGUCAUGAAUAUAUAAGAAUAUAAAAAUUUCUUUACUUUUUAUUAAAUUUAUGUUAGGUCAAGGUGCAGUAUAUAAAAGAAAUAUAUGGGUUACAUUAUAUAUUAUGAAUGAAUUUAAUUUAAAUAAAAUUAAUGAAAUAGGAUUUAAAAGUAAAGUUAAUUUAAGAAUUAUAAUGAAUAAAGAUUCUAAAAUAUGUACACAUUGCCCGUCGCUCUUGUGAGUUAAUAUAAGAUAAGUCGUAACAUAGUAGGGGUACCGGAAGGUGUUCCUGGGAUUA
This 747-nucleotide non-coding RNA is filed under the name Melanastera paucipunctata. The record is from RNAcentral. Lineage: Eukaryota; Metazoa; Arthropoda; Insecta; Hemiptera; Liviidae.